AAGACUGUAUGUACAGGGAUUGUGUCUAUAGUGUCUUCCUUGAAAAUUGUGCUCCUAAAGUGAUCAGUCUCACUCAACAUGAUAAUGAGUCUUGGUAUUCUCUUCUAAGCAAGAGACAGGUUGAAUCACUGAUUUACAACAAGUGGUUUCAACCGUUGAUGACUGUUCUUUGCUUCUUCUAGUAAUAAUGAAGAAGAGCGUAUGAUCUGAGUAGU
This is a small nucleolar RNA of Nothobranchius furzeri (turquoise killifish), 215 nucleotides long. Its record names the gene U3. It matches the Rfam family "Small nucleolar RNA U3". Rfam says of the family: Small nucleolar RNAs (snoRNAs) are involved in the processing and modification of rRNA in the nucleolus. There are two main classes of snoRNAs: the box C/D class, and the box H/ACA class. U3 snoRNA is a member of the box C/D class. Lineage: Eukaryota; Metazoa; Chordata; Actinopteri; Cyprinodontiformes; Nothobranchiidae. The record is from Ensembl.